UACGUAGGUGGCAAGCGUUGUCCGGAUUUAUUGGGUUUAAAGGGUGCGUAGGCGGCCUUAUAAGUCAGUGCUGAAAUAUCCCGGCUUAACCGGGAGGUGGCAUUGAUACUGUAGGGCUUGAGUGUAGUCGAGGUAGGCGGAAUUGACGGUGUAGCGGUGAAAUGCUUAGAUAUCGUCAAGAACACCGAUAGUGUAGACAGCUUACUAGGCUACAACUGACGCUGAGGCACGAAAGUGUGGGGAUCAAACAGG
RNAcentral lists this ribosomal RNA (252 nucleotides) under uncultured bacterium. RNAcentral's name for it is "partial 16S ribosomal RNA". It matches the Rfam family "Bacterial small subunit ribosomal RNA", at positions 524 to 776 of the family's 1533-position model. The record is from RNAcentral.